Molecule: ribosomal RNA, 468 nt
Filed under: uncultured bacterium
Lineage: Bacteria
Description: partial 16S ribosomal RNA
Rfam family: Bacterial small subunit ribosomal RNA
Source: RNAcentral
GACGAACGCUGGCGGCGUGCUUAACACAUGCAGGUCGAACGGAAAGGCCCUGCUUUUGUGGGGUGCUCGAGUGGCGAACGGGUGAGUAACACGUGAGUAACCUGCCCUUGACUUUGGGAUAACUUCAGGAAACUGGGGCUAAUACCGGAUAGGAGCUCCUGCUGCAUGGUGGGGGUUGGAAAGUUUCGGCGGUUGGGGAUGGACUCGCGGCUUAUCAGCUUGUUGGUGGGGUAGUGGCUUACCAAGGCUUUGACGGGUAGCCGGCCUGAGAGGGUGACCGGCCACACUGGGACUGAGAUACGGCCCAGACUCCUACGGGAGGCAGCAGUGGGGAAUAUUGCACAAUGGGCGGAAGCCUGAUGCAGCAACGCCGCGUGCGGGAUGACGGCCUUCGGGUUGUAAACCGCUUUCGCCUGUGACGAAGCGUGAGUGACGGUAAUGGGUAAAGAAGCACCGGCUAACUACGUG